Molecule: ribosomal RNA, 448 nt
Filed under: uncultured bacterium
Lineage: Bacteria
Description: bacterial SSU rRNA
Rfam family: Bacterial small subunit ribosomal RNA
Source: RNAcentral
GAUGAACGCUGGCGGCGUGCUUAACACAUGCAAGUCGAACGGGAAACAUUUUAUUGAAGCUUCGGCAGAUUUAGCUUGUUUCUAGUGGCGGACGGGUGAGUAACGCGUGGGUAACCUGCCUUAUACUGGGGGAUAACAGCCAGAAAUGACUGCUAAUACCGCAUAAGCGCACAGAACCGCAUAGUUCGGUGUGAAAAACUCCGGUGGUAUAAGAUGGACCCGCGUUGGAUUAGCUAGUUGGCAGGGCAGCGGCCUACCAAGGCGACGAUCCAUAGCCGGCCUGAGAGGGUGAACGGCCACAUUGGGACUGAGACACGGCCCAGACUCCUACGGGAGGCAGCAGUGGGGAAUAUUGCACAAUGGGGGAAACCCUGAUGCAGCGACGCCGCGUGAAGGAAGAAGUAUCUCGGUAUGUAAACUUCUAUCAGCAGGGAAGAUAAUGACGGUA